Molecule: ribosomal RNA, 253 nt
Filed under: uncultured bacterium
Lineage: Bacteria
Description: partial 16S ribosomal RNA
Rfam family: Bacterial small subunit ribosomal RNA
Source: RNAcentral
UACGAGGGGUGCAAACGUUAUUCGGAAUAACUGGGCGUAAAGGGUGCGUAGACGGUUUGUUAAGCUUGUUGUUAAAUUUCCUGGCCUAACUGGGAGCAUGCAAUGAGAACUGGCAUACUAGAGGAUGAGAGAGAAGAGUGGAAUUUCCGGAGUAGCGGUAAAAUGCGUAGAUCUCGGAAGGAACAUCGAUGGCGAAGGCAGCUCUUUGGCUCAUUCCUGACGUUGAGGCACGAAAGCGUGGGGAGCAAACAGG